UAGCUAGUUGGUGAGGUAAAGGCUUACCAAGGCGACGAUCUGUAGCGGGUCUGAGAGGAUGAUCCGCCACACUGGAACUGAGACACGGUCCAGACUCCUACGGGAGGCAGCAGUGGGGAAUUUUGGACAAUGGGGGCAACCCUGAUCCAGCCAUGCCGCGUGAGUGAAGAAGGCCUUCGGGUUGUAAAGCUCUUUCGGCCGGGAAGAAAUCGCAUGGGCCAAUACCCUGUGUGGAUGACGGUACCGGAAUAAGAAGCACCGGCUAACUACGUGCCAGCAGCCGCGGUAAUACGUAGGGUGCGAGCGUUAAUCGGAAUUACUGGGCGUAAAGCGUGCGCAGGCGGUUUUGUAAGACAGGCGUGAAAUCCCCGGGCUUAACCUGGGAACUGCGUUUGUGACUGCAAGGCUAGAGUACGGCAGAGGGGGGUGGAAUUCCACGUGUAGCAGUGAAAUGCGUAGAGAUGUGGAGGAACACCAAUGGCGAAGGCAGCCCCCUGGGUCGAUACUGACGCUCAUGCACGAAAGCGUGGGUAGCAAACAGGAUUAGAUACCCUGGUAGUCCACGCCCUAAACUAUGUCAACUAGGUGUUGGGUGGGUAAAACCAUUUAGUACCGUAGCUAACGCGUGAAGUUGACCGCCUGGGGAGUACGGCCGCAAGGUUAAAACUCAAAGGAAUUGACGGGGACCCGCACAAGCGGUGGAUGAUGUGGAUUAAUUCGAUGCAACGCGAAAAACCUUACCUACCCUUGACAUGCCAGGAACUUGCCAGAGAUGGCUUGGUGCCCGAAAGGGAGCCUGGACACAGGUGCUGCAUGGCUGUCGUCAGCUCGUGUCGUGAGAUGUUGGGUUAAGUCCCGCAACGAGCGCAACCCUUGUCGUUAAUUGCCAUCAUUUAGUUGGGCACUUUAACGAGACUGCCGGUGACAAACCGGAGGAAGGUGGGGAUGACGUCAAGUCCUCAUGGCCCUUAUGGGUAGGGCCUCACACGUCAUACAAUGGUCGGUACAAAGGGUUGCCAAGCCGCGAGGCGGAGCCAAUCCCAGAAAGCCGAUCGUAGUCCGGAUUGCAGGCUGCAACUCGCCUGCAUGAAGUCGGAAUCGCUAGUAAUCGUGGAUCAGCAUGUCACGGUGAAUACGUUCCCGGGUCUUGUACACACCGCCCGUCACACCAUGGGAGCGGGUUCCGCCAGAAGUAGGUAGCCUAACCGCAAGGGGGGCGCUUACCACGGCGGGGUUCGUGACUGGGGUGAAGUCGAAACAAGGUAGCCGUAGGGGAACCUGCGGCUG
Molecule: ribosomal RNA, 1287 nt
Filed under: metagenome
Description: bacterial SSU rRNA
Rfam family: Bacterial small subunit ribosomal RNA
Source: RNAcentral